AAAACGUUGCCGCAGGCAACGACCCGAAGGGUGAGGAGCGGAGCGACGAAUAAUCCUUCCCCCACCACCA
This 70-nucleotide small RNA is filed under the name Salmonella enterica. RNAcentral describes it as "partial RtT sRNA". It matches the Rfam family "RtT RNA", at positions 60 to 130 of the family's 130-position model. Rfam says of the family: This family represents a bacterial cis-regulatory element known as RtT RNA. The exact function of RtT is unknown although it is thought that it may be involved in changing the cellular response in relation to amino acid starvation. Lineage: Bacteria; Pseudomonadati; Pseudomonadota; Gammaproteobacteria; Enterobacterales; Enterobacteriaceae. The record is from RNAcentral.